Molecule: ribosomal RNA, 483 nt
Filed under: uncultured bacterium
Lineage: Bacteria
Description: partial 16S ribosomal RNA
Rfam family: Bacterial small subunit ribosomal RNA
Source: RNAcentral
GACGAACGCUGGCGGCGUGCUUAACACAUGCAAGUCGAACGCUGAAGCUCAGCUUUUGUUGGGUGGAUGAGUGGCGAACGGGUGAGUAACACGUGAGUAACCUGCCCCCUUCUUUGGGAUAACGCCCGGAAACGGGUGCUAAUACUGGAUAUUCACUGGUCUUCGCAUGGGGGUUGGUGGAAAGGGUUUUUCUGGUGGGGGAUGGGCUCGCGGCCUAUCAGCUUGUUGGUGGGGUGAUGGCCUACCAAGGCUUUGACGGGUAGCCGGCCUGAGAGGGUGACCGGUCACAUUGGGACUGAGAUACGGCCCAGACUCGUACGGGAGGCAGAAGGGGGGAAUAUGGCACAAUGGGCGCAAGCCUGAUGCAGCGACGACGCGUGAGGGAUGGAGGCCUUCGGGUUGUGAACCUCUUUCGCUCAUGGUCAAGCCGCAACAAUGGUUGUGGUGAGGGUAGUGGGUAAAGAAGCGCCGGCUAACUACGUG